RNAcentral lists this long non-coding RNA (724 nucleotides) under Equus asinus (donkey). RNAcentral describes it as "lncRNA (ENSEASG00005033218.1)". Lineage: Eukaryota; Metazoa; Chordata; Mammalia; Perissodactyla; Equidae. The record is from RNAcentral.
AAGAAACGAUUUUAACUACACCCAUCAGAAAACACGAACCAGUGAAGCAGCAUUUUAUCUAGCAUCAGUGACUGCAUGCUGUGAGAAUUUUGUUGCUGUGGAAACCGUGUUUGUGAUACUGAAACUGAAUAAUGACUUGCUCUAUCAGGUUUUGAUGAUCACAGAGAAAUUACGGUUUUUACUGAGCAAACCCUUGUAUAUCAAUAAAGAUCCAAUUCUUUGGGACAUCCUGUCACCUCUACCUUCAAAAUACGUCCCCAGUCCAAGCACAUCUCGCCCGCUACGGCUACAAGGCUGGUCCAGGGAACUGUUGUCUCUCACCUGAGCUGCCCCAGCUACCUCCUGACUGAAAAGGCCACACUCCCUGGACCAAGUGACACAGUUCUUGCCAAUGAGAUAAGUAAAAAUCCGCUGGGAACUUUUGGGAAAUUUGGCUUGCAUCAUUAAAAAGGACUUAUAUCUUCCCUUUUUUGGAUACUGACCUGAUAAUUGGAGCUUCAGCAGCCAUGUUGUAAUCAUGAGAGAAAGGCCGGGCUAGGGAAUCUCAGACGUGCAGGCCCUGCCAUUGCUGAGCUACUGAAACAGCCCCAGCAGCCGCCCCAGCAACUUCCUGUUACGUGAGAACAAGUGAGCUCACCUUGUUCCACCCACUGCAUUCAGGGUCUCUCUUCCUUACAGCUGGGCAAAUAGAAUAGCAGUUUAAAGAAGUACCUACCUAACCCUA